Molecule: long non-coding RNA, 771 nt
Filed under: Ursus maritimus (polar bear)
Lineage: Eukaryota; Metazoa; Chordata; Mammalia; Carnivora; Ursidae
Description: lncRNA (ENSUMAG00000006822.1)
Source: RNAcentral
UCACUCUUCCUCUCUUCCCAAGAGGACACUUACUCUCUGAUUUUGUUUAAAGUCUCCAGAGGGCAGAAUCCUAAAGACCUAAAAGGGAGAUCAUCUCAGGCAACAUUGUGCCUCGUGAUUGCCGGCACCUCCCUGAGCCACCUCAACUACACAUUUCUUUACGUGGGCUCUCAUAUGGAUGCCCUGCAGGAUCAGGACACUCUGAACACUUUCCGGAAAUACCUCAUUGGAUGUGCUUCUGGAAUCAAUAUCCCAUCUUGUGGGGACCAACAGAACCCUCUCCAAGUAUGACAAGUGCCGGACAGCAUCCAACAAUCACUAAGAGGAUACCAAUUCUGCUCAUCAGACGUGAUUCAUUCUACCACUUACAACCUGAAAACGGUGGGCGAGAGGAAGUCUUACUGGGUCGGUUUCAUGAUCAAGACUACUAACAAUGAGCAUAUGGAGAGAUGAAGGAUGGGUGACCCCACCAUGGCGUCGGGUAGGCAGCUUUGGGCCUGCAGAUCUCCUGCCGCAUCCCCAGAAUCUAGAGGAGUGACUGUUAAUCUGGAGACAGUGAAUGGGCUCCAGUGGAUCUGUAAUCCAUUGAACGAAUCAAUGAAUGGACUGCUAUAAUUAUUUGCAAAAUUGUGUGUAUGUACUUUUCUUUUUUUACUGGAAAAAGGGAUUGUGUUUCCAUCAUUUUCUCAGAGGACUCCAUGGUCCCCUACUGUUUAAGAGCCAGUGCUCAGGCUUACUUAAAUUGUUUUAGAUUCGGCCAGCGUAAUCUUA